RNAcentral lists this ribosomal RNA (253 nucleotides) under uncultured bacterium. RNAcentral describes it as "partial 16S ribosomal RNA". It matches the Rfam family "Bacterial small subunit ribosomal RNA", at positions 524 to 776 of the family's 1533-position model. The record is from RNAcentral.
UACGUAGGUGGCAAGCGUUAUCCGGAUUUACUGGGUGUAAAGGGCGUGUAGGCGGGGAAGCAAGUCAGAUGUGAAAACCACGGGCUCAACCUGUGGCCUGCAUUUGAAACUGUUUUUCUUGAGUGCUGGAGAGGCAAUCGAAAUUCCGUGUGUAGCGGUGAAAUGCGUAGAUAUACGGAGGAACACCAGUGGCGAAGGCGGAUUGCUGGACAGUAACUGACGCUGAGGCGCGAAAGCGUGGGGAGCAAACAGG